This 787-nucleotide ribosomal RNA is filed under the name uncultured bacterium. Its description in RNAcentral is "bacterial SSU rRNA". It matches the Rfam family "Bacterial small subunit ribosomal RNA", at positions 79 to 865 of the family's 1533-position model. The record is from RNAcentral.
UUCGGAUGCUGACGAGUGGCGAACGGGUGAGUAAUACAUCGGAACGUGCCCGAUCGUGGGGGAUAACGCAGCGAAAGCUGUGCUAAUACCGCAUACGAUCUACGGAUGAAAGCAGGGGAUCGCAAGACCUUGCGCGGACGGAGCGGCCGAUGGCAGAUUAGGUAGUUGGUGGGGUAAAGGCUCACCAAGCCGACGAUCUGUAGCUGGUCUGAGAGGACGACCAGCCACACUGGGACUGAGACACGGCCCAGACUCCUACGGGAGGCAGCAGUGGGAAUUUUGGACAAUGGGCGCAAGCCUGAUCCAGCCAUGCCGCGUGCAGGAUGAAGGCCUUCGGGUUGUAAACUGCUUUUGUACGGAACGAAAAGGUCUUCUCUAAUAAAGAGGGCUCAUGACGGUACCGUAAGAAUAAGCACCGGCUAACUACGUGCCAGCAGCCGCGGUAAUACGUAGGGUGCAAGCGUUAAUCGGAAUUACUGGGCGUAAAGCGUGCGCAGGCGGUGAUGUAAGACAGAUGUGAAAUCCCCGGGCUCAACCUGGGAACUGCAUUUGUGACUGCAUCGCUGGAGUGCGGCAGAGGGGGAUGGAAUUCCGCGUGUAGCAGUGAAAUGCGUAGAUAUGCGGAGGAACACCGAUGGCGAAGGCAAUCCCCUGGGCCUGCACUGACGCUCAUGCACGAAAGCGUGGGGAGCAAACAGGAUUAGAUACCCUGGUAGUCCACGCCCUAAACGAUGUCAACUGGUUGUUGGGUCUUCACUGACUCAGUAACGAAGCUAACGCGUGAAGU